This 814-nucleotide unclassified non-coding RNA is filed under the name Hevea brasiliensis (rubber tree). The record is from RNAcentral. Lineage: Eukaryota; Viridiplantae; Streptophyta; Magnoliopsida; Malpighiales; Euphorbiaceae.
GUUCGGCGAGAAAAGUUGAUUGAGCUGCUGGAUAUUGAUCUGCAGUGGCGUAUGCACAAGGUAUCUGAUGGUCAGAGGCGUAGAGUCCAAAUCUGCAUGGGUCUCCUUCACCCCUACAAGGUUCUUUUAAUGGAUGAGGUCACCGUUGACUUAGAUGUUGUUGCGAGGAUGGAUUUAUUGGAUUUCUUUAAGGAAGAAUGUGAACAGAGAGGAGCUACAAUUGUCUAUGCAACACAUAUAUUUGAUGGACUGGAGACAUGGGCGACUGAUCUUGUUUACAUCCAAGAAGGAGUUCUGAAGAGGACUGAGAAAUUACCCGAGCUUCCUGAGUUGAAGUCCUCCCCUAAUUUGCUUUCAGUAGUUGAGAACUGGUUGCGUUCUGAGACCCCGAUUGAGAAAAAGAAACCGGCUCCCGCUCCAGCAAAAGCUCAAAAGUCCUCUCCUUUUGGCUCUUCUCCAUUUCAGUCAUCCAGACAUAUGUCACAUUAUCGCUGAUUUACACAUCCUGUUUUCCAGAGUAGAAUUUAAACCUUGCAGGAUUGCCAAUAAAAGAGAUCAGAGCUGGUUCUUCAGUGUUUGCAGCUUGGAAAAUGUUGUCGUUAUCACGGGCUACACCUUUGGCUGAACUCAAAAGUAGGAACUAUGGCAACUCAGGUUACAUUUACGUGCCGAAGCCUGACGAUGUGCCUUUAGUGCAAGUAUCAAUAGUGUUCCAUUCCUCUAUUUAUAAUUAGCCUGCAAUUUCUUGUAACAGUUAUCACAAAGUCAUUGAUCAUUUAUGUUUUUGCAGAAUUAUAAAGAAUAUAUGUCUAAG